AUUGGUAUCAAGUAGAGUCUUCAAAAACUAAACUUCCUGGAACAUUCUUCUGUCCAUAAUGCCCCAGAACUUGCCAGUCAAGAUGAAAAACUUCUUCUAAUGGAAUCCAGCUUGAAAGCUACUCAAGAGCAGCUAACUGAGCAAAUAGCAGAAACAGUUCGCCAAGAACAGAACAGUAGAAAACCCCAGGCAGAGCUGAAGACAGUGACAGAAGGGAUUAUUGCUUCUGAAGAAGAAAAAAAAUGAUUACAAAAUCACCUAUUUUACCGUCUUUUACAACUUCGUUGUAGGAGGUGUGAAAGAGGAGGGAAAUUGUGUUGUUUGAUGGAGAGACUCAAAUUAACAAAGAACUGUGGAAUAUUUCUAGCCAAAAGCCACUGGGGAACUGAUUCCUGCCAACAACCACUGAACUUCGAAGUAGAUCCAUCAGCAACUGGACCCUCAGAUGCGACCCAUGUAUGACACCUUGAUUGGGAUCCUGUGAGAGACCCUCAGGCAGAGCACCUAGUUAAGUCAAACUCAGAUCGCUGACUCCCAGAAACUGUAAGCACUCUCCUGCAUACCUGUCACCAAACCUCCAGGUCAAUCUCACAUUUACUCUUGAAGAAAUGGAGUCGAAGAUGAAAUAGAAAAUAAUUAGAUAAUGAAAUGCUAAUAUAGGAAUUGAAUGUCAGCUGCAGUGCUCAGAAGCAUAAGAUUGUGAUAAAUGUUUUGGAGGAAAAUAGAAAGAAGGCUGUGGUUUGAAACGUCUCAACAAACUUCCAAUCAUGCAAAACUUGAGGGAACGAGGAACAGCAAAGCUUGGCACUUUGGAAGCUUGAUAACAUCACAGCAUGGAAGAAAAGUGGAAGGAAGUUAUCACAAAGGAAUAACAAACAACGUGCUCUCCUUAAGCCAUCCUGACUACUCUAACAUCCUGCUUCCACUAAAAAUACUGACGGCCAAAUUCACAAAUAAGAGACAAGAUGGAAACUGAUUGAUUUCACACCGGUAAGGCUGAAAUUUAAAUGGGUAGUUUUUUGGAAGAGAUCCCAUUAAGGGAGGGUAUUUGGCCAUUUAUCAUAGGUUCAUAAUGAGUUAAUUAGUCAG
RNAcentral lists this long non-coding RNA (1089 nucleotides) under Homo sapiens (human). RNAcentral describes it as "HSALNT0347867". The record is from RNAcentral. Lineage: Eukaryota; Metazoa; Chordata; Mammalia; Primates; Hominidae.